UUCCCCUGCCAAUUGGCAAAGAGACACCUUAUUGGUGCUGGUAUUCUAUCAGUCAGGGGCAGAGCAGAUGGUAGUCCUUUGUUCAUCCUAGUUUGAUGCCUGGCUUAGUGGGCAAAGCUGUCUUAUGUCUAGGCCUCAAAA
Non-coding RNA from Mus musculus (house mouse), 141 nucleotides. The record is from Rfam. NCBI's taxonomy places the organism in Eukaryota, Metazoa, Chordata, Mammalia, Rodentia, Muridae.